CUGCUAUUAAAGCAAAACAGGAGGAUAUAUACUUUAGCCAUGAAAUUAGCGCAUAAUGUUAUCUAGCCAGUUGAACUUGCAUUGCUUUAGGGAAAUAUUAGCACACGUUUUCCACAAGUGGAUGUAGGCAGGAAAGAUUUAUAUUAGACAUCAGGAAUAAUGUCCUGACUUUCAGAAGAGUUGUGAGAAGCCAAAUAGUUUACCAAAGAAGGCUGUGGAAUUUACCUCCUGGAAAUUUUUAGCAGCAGACAUGAGACCCAUAUGUUUGAGACUAUUUCGGAGUCUUUGAAAUGAAUAGAAUGGUCUUAUUAAGAGUUUCCUAGUCCUUUUCUUUUGUAGCUUGCCUGAGAAGAGGUUAGACAUUCAGUCCACAAAGCCAGGCUUCUCUCCGACCUUCCCCUAUACAUUUCCGAAGACAGAGAAGAGGAAAAAGGAGGUAGAGUCUGGUAUGAGGGCACCAGGGAACAUUUCCUUACUUCACAAUUUGGUGAACUGAGUAGAACUGCCUGACAUCACACAGAGGGUAAACUUCUGCCUAGGGCCAUGGAAAAAGGCAAGAAGGUCCCGUGACCAAGAAAUGACCAGCUCCACAGAGGAAAUGCAGGGCCACUCUCCGACUGGACCCCACUGUGCACAAGCCUGCUCAAUGUGAAGAUGACGAGGAUGAAAACCUUUAUGAUGAUCUACUCCUAUUUAUGUGGACUUGCUCUGGAUUAGGGAUGAGAAGACCUGACUCUACUGUUUUCUUGAUAAGUGACCUUGAACCAGACACAUGUGCUCAAGUUCCAUAUCUGUAAAAUGAAGAUACCUGGCCUUCCUACUUCACAAGGUUCUUUUGAAGAUCAAAUGUAAUACUGCAUAAUAAAGUGACUCAUAAAUUCUUUUUUUUUUUUUUUUUGAGAUGAAUUCUCACUCUGUUGCCCAGGCUGUCAUGACCUGGUGCAAUUUCAACUCACUGCAACCUCCGCCUCCAGGGUUCAAGAGAUUCUCCUACCUCAGCCCCACCGAGUAGCUGGGAUUACAGGCAUGCACCACCACUCCCGGCUUUUUUAUUUUAUUUUUAUUUUUUGUAUUUUUUGUAUUUUUAGUAGAGAUGGGGUUUUGCCAUUUUGGUGAGGUUGGUCCUGAACUCCUGACCUCAAGUGACCUGCCCGUCUUGCCUCCCAAAGUGCUGGGAUUACAGGAGUGAGCCUCUGCACCUGGCCUGACCCAUAAAUUCUAAAGUACUAAGUGAUGUCCUCAUAUAUAGCACAGUCCCUCCAGCCCCUGCAAUUCAAAGAUACAUCUCACUGUACUUAGGAGAGUUAGAGUAGAGGCAUGACCUAACUUGUUAGCUGUUUAUCUCCUAUAGAAAGUGGUCAACAGAUCUUUGUUGGUAAAAUGAAUGAAUAUUCAUUUCUUAUCUUUCAAUGAGAAUGUGAUAACUUUGGUUAUUGAUGUAUACUUCCGUGCAAAUUUGCUCAUGCAAUUUCAACCACAUCCCCCAGAACAACUUUCUACCAUGCUAAUUGCUCCGAACAUUUAAAUACCAGCAUAGGAAUGGAAGCUACUGACUGUUAACAUUUCUCACAUUUAGUUGCUGAAUGCCUCUCACAUUUACUUACUGAAUGUGUGCUUUAGACCAUCUUAAAAAUAUAAUAGUAUGUCUGAUAAAGAGGCCCAUCAGUCCUCAAAAUGUCUUCAUCUUUUAGUGUUGAAACAAUAAUGAUGAUUUGCUUCAUUUGUGCUCUACACACCAAUGAGAUGAGCUAACUGCAUAUCUACUAUGAAAUAAUGUCUAUUAUUACAUGGAUAACUACCCAUUAACUCCAUUGGAAACACUGGUAAUUACACAGUAUGUUACGUUAAUGCACCUGUGUUAGCUUCUGAUUGCCAUAUUAUUAAUUCAAGUGACCUCUUGAAUUAAUUCAAGUUUCCCAUCAUCAUUUUCUUAUUCUGGAACUCUCUAACACUUUAGAGACUGUUGGCUAAACAAUAAAAGUAUACAGUGAAAACUAUUUUCAAAAAAAAGAGGAUCUGAUGUGUGAUCCCAUUGAUGUUUGUUGUUGUUUUUCACUUCUUUGCUUGACAUAUAUAAACAACUUUAGAGCUAUAUUCUGUUACCUUCUGUGCAAAAUUAGAACAAUUUUCACUUUGUGAAGAGUUGCAGAAAGAUUUGACCUUUAAAAACUCUGAAACACGUCUGGUUCACAAACAGAAUCACAUCUUAAAAGCCCUAAGUUUGCUCUAAAAGUGUCAAUCAAGUUUUCAGCACACUAACACACGUAAUAAUGAAAGGCUUGUAUUUGCUCCUAAAACCCAAGUUGCCUCCCAGUCACUCUGCAUCUGGUUACACCAAACUUAACUUUUCUACAGUCCAUCUAGUCCUGACCUUCCCCUCUUCUUACGAGCCCCCAUUUAACCAAAGCAACUCCAGCCCAGGAGAUGAAAACCCCAUCAGCAUUUUCAUAGUUAAUGACAGGGCUACAAAACAGAAAAUAACAGCGGGAAUCUGAAGCCAGUGCUUUUAUUGGACUAACUAACGAUAUAAAUAAAAUGGUCCCUGACUGAGCUUUGGAGAAUCACUGUCUCUUUAUCAGGCCAUAGAAAACAGAUCCAGGAGGGCAAUAAAUACAGCACAUAACAGAGUGGAAUUAAAUGAUUAGGCCUGAAUUAACACCCUGUUUCUGAGCCUCACUUAGUGUUCCAUGGCCCCAAUGAAACACUGCAAUUCACAAAUGCUCAAGGCCCAUUUAAUUUUUAUUUCAAGCUAGUUCAGAAGAAGGGAUUACCUAUAACUCCCCCCUAUUCCAUUGUGUAACUCUCGAAGUAACAACACUGAUCCUGUCUAGAUAGCUGUUAGGAAAAUAGGCUGUGCUAUAGGAAACACAGAGUCUAUUCAGAAUCCUGCCUCUACAAAAAUCACAUUAAUUCAAAGGGACCAAAUCCCUCUCUGUGAAAGUGACAAGGCUGUCCUUGAUGGGAAAAUAAUGAAUUAUUAGUUAAAUAAACUUGAUUAUUUUCCAUGACAUUAACAACAAACCUAUGCAACUGUCAGCCCAAGAUUUUUACUUUUUGAACUGUGGCUUUAGCAUGCCAAAGAUCCUAAUCAAGUCUUAACUGCAAAAUGGAAUUGAAUCUCACCUUGGAGGGUAAUCUAUGGAGGCCCAUCCCCCAUUACACCAUAUGUCACAGGAUAAGGUGGAUGAGUUUCACUUAAACCCUGUUGGCGGGGAGUUAAUAUUGUUCUAUACGUCUUCAUUUAUACAAUGGCUUUAGAGCAAGAAAUCCAAGGAUGGCAUAAGAGGAAGGCUUCACUGUAGCAGUGAAGUACUUAGAAAUUUUAGACGAAAUAUGCAGCAGAUGAAACUGAGUCAUUAAAACCACUUGUAUACCUGUGACUUGAAGUGAUGUAUGAGAUGGAGAUAUAUUUAGAAGGCAAGGUCCUCAAGAGGUAAGAGAGCUUGCAGUUUUGAGCACUUAGUAGAUGCUGUGUGCUGGUUUUUAUUUUUCCUCAUUUAAUCCUCACACUGUCCUAUAAAGUUGACAUAAUUAUUCCUGUUUACAAGUAAGGAAACUGACCCUCAAAGAGGAGUGUAAUAAUUGCCCAAGUUCACACAGGAAGUGGUAAGGCUGAGAUUCAAAUCCAGAUCUAGCUGAUUCCAAAGCCAGCCCUUUCCGUCAAUACUAUGACUGUCACCUGCUUAGAACUCCUGACUGCUGCCUGGAGCUUUUACUUGGGAUCUUCUAGAAUAACCAAAGAAACAACACACAGAAGAGGAUGAGACUAAUGAAGUAUAGUCUCAAACAGUAGGAAAAAACCCCAAGGGCUUUGGCACUGGAUGAGAUUAACUCUUAUAAAGCCCCAGGAGAUCCAGACAUUCAGUGAAUUAAGGAGCCCUCCUCUGAAAUUAAAUGAACCUGCCUGUCCAAAACUGCUUCCGAGUGUCAGCCAUGGCGUACAUGGGGUCCAGACUCUAUCAUCACCCUGAAAGGGCACCUUGAGCCUUGACUGAAGUAGAGCAGGGAGGAUUCUUCCACAUUUUCAAGAGUAUGAGGUUUGACCACACCCAAGUUUACCCUACCAGUCGGUUCAGCAUAGCGUGUAGCUGUGUAUGGGACAGAAAGGGACACCUAUUAGAUGGAACCUUCUGCCCCAACACUUUUGUACUACAAAAUAACUGUAAUUGUGGCUCAAAUUUAUGCUUAAGUAACUUCAGUGAAACAAUAACACACACAUAACUCUCAGAAAGCAAUCUUACUCAAAAGGCUUGGGCACUGAUACAUUGUGAAGAAAUUACACAAUAUGAAUUUUUUUUAAAAAGGUAAUCACUAGAAAGUUUACAGAUGAUAGAUUCAUGUUAGCAAAAGAGUGUUAAGUAUCUGUUGAAUUACAACUAGACACUUAUGGAAAGUGUCUAAUUUCACUUUCUCUGCACUAUCUUUCUGUAUUACCAGUACCCAAUAAAUUAAAUGCUUUUGACAUUCAAUCAAUAUUACAUGGUAAUAAUCACAUCUUUUCAUUAAAAAGGAUAAAUUCCUUAAAAUUUUAUGUUUUAAGAAAAGGUCUUUGUUUACCAAAAGGGAUAGCAAAAUGAUUUAAGUGAGUUUAAUUUGAAUUAUUAAUUUUUUGUUCCUCGGCCAGCAGUUCUUCAGCAAAGGUCUAGAUUAUGGUGAUUGUUCUUGGUUGUGGUUUUUUAACAGUAAUGACAAGGCCCUUGAUAUCCUCUGGCCUUGACUUAGACACAAUUGCAGGCCUCCUUUUCACCUUUAGUUUUAGUAUUAAGGAAAAUCUAUCUCACUGUCAGGAAUAAAAGCCAGACUAUGUCUUUGAAUUUGAGUCCUUGUCUACUUGACUCCACAGCAAGCCAUAGUUUUAAGCAGCUUUUUUGGGAGAUAGGACCACGUGAAGCAUCUGCCAUGCCCAUUUGCUUAUUUAAGUACUUGUUUUUGUAUUUUGAAAGCAUAACUUCAGUUUAAAAAAUCCACAUAAAAAUGGGGUAAAACUUGGAACAAAAUUAUGGACUACCAGAGGUUUUCACUUACAACUGGCUACAGAAGCAGAGUGCAAUGCAAUCACAAAGAAUUAUUCCUUUAAAAUUGUGAGGUAUCACAUCUGCAUUUUUGAGUGAAUAGCUGACUAUGAUAAAGAGACCAGUUUUACCUUUGUAAAGCUGUAUGUCUCUUCCACGAAGUAGUUCUUUCAUCUAACAUGCGGAUUGCAAUAACUUACAG
Molecule: long non-coding RNA, 5214 nt
Filed under: Homo sapiens (human)
Lineage: Eukaryota; Metazoa; Chordata; Mammalia; Primates; Hominidae
Description: HSALNT0043651
Source: RNAcentral